CCUACGGGGGGCAGCAGUGAGGAAUAUUGGUCAAUGGACGAGAGUCUGAACCAGCCAAGUAGCGUGAAGGAUGACUGCCCUAUGGGUUGUAAACUUCUUUUAUAAAGGAAUAAAACGAGGCACGUGUGCCUUUUUGCAUGUACUUUAUGAAUAAGGAUCGGCUAACUCCGUGCCAGCAGCCGCGGUAAUACGGAGGAUCCGAGCGUUAUCCGGAUUUAUUGGGUUUAAAGGGAGCGUAGAUGGGUUGUUAAGUCAGUUGUGAAAGUUUGCGGCUCAACCGUAAAAUUGCAAUUGAUACUGGCAGUCUUGAGUACAGUUGAGGUAGGCGGAAUUCGUGGUGUAGCGGUGAAAUGCGUAGAUAUCACGAAGAACUCCGAUUGCGAAGGCAGCUUACUAAACUGCCACUGACAUUGAUGCUCGAAAGUGUGGGUAGCAAACAGGAUUAGAUACCCCUGUAGUC
RNAcentral lists this ribosomal RNA (460 nucleotides) under uncultured bacterium. Its description in RNAcentral is "partial 16S ribosomal RNA". It matches the Rfam family "Bacterial small subunit ribosomal RNA", at positions 338 to 795 of the family's 1533-position model. The record is from RNAcentral.